AUAGAGAGCAAUAACUUAACCAAUAUCGGAGUGAAGGAAUAAAUAAAUAUUUUAUCGUGAUAUGGUAUCGUAAAUUUAUUUCCUGGAGCUAACCUUAUCGGCUGAGAGCCUAGCUAUCUAAAAACCCUCCCAGCCACGAGGGUGUAAGCCCGAGAAAAUCGCCGACCCCGAAACCGAAAAUCGUUUCUUCCACGGCAGAAAUUACACGGUUUUAAAAUAAAAGUUGGCCACCGUUUGAAUAUACGAAAACUAUAAAGUUGCAUCCGAAAUUGUGCAUUAUGUUGUUCUACAACGGUGAAUUAUGGUCAAUAAAUUGACUAUCCUUCUCUCCCUGAUCCCGAAGCAAUUAAUCAAUUUAAUUUGUUGAAAGCAACAAGUUAUUUAUAUCCUUAUCCGUUAUCUCUAAACUCUAAUACCCUUUAAUCUCAACCUUUAUAAAAUUACUUUAAAAAAUUAAUCUUUCCAUAACUUUUCAUGUUUAUCAUAUUAUAUAGUGGGGCGACCGAGGCGUUUUAACGUACAAUUCACUUCUGAGGAAUAAUCAUUUUACAUUUAAUUUACCUUAGAAAAUCGCCUAUUUCAACAUUACAUAAACAGAACGUACUAAAAGGUUAAAACGUUAUAAGUGAGAUCUACCAAGUUUGAAUAGACGUUCAAAAACCUGAUGUUUUAAUAUAAAAAUGACACAAACAACAAUUAUAUUGAUUGCGUACUACCGGAUAAUUGGAUUCAAAAGCUGGAGACUAUUUCAUACUGCAAUGUUUUUCAAACAGAAAUAAAUAUUUUGGAAGUUUAUAGCUUAUGAUAGGAGGAAAAUUAACAACCAAAAGACAAUCCGACUGAUAUUGUUCAUUAUUAUCUAACUAUUAUUAUUGUUGAUA
This is a long non-coding RNA of Cimex lectularius (bed bug), 881 nucleotides long. RefSeq lists it as uncharacterized. The record is from RefSeq and is a predicted model, not a curated record. NCBI's taxonomy places the organism in Eukaryota, Metazoa, Arthropoda, Insecta, Hemiptera, Cimicidae. The transcript is spliced from 3 exons.